This 21-nucleotide non-coding RNA is filed under the name Caenorhabditis elegans. The record is from RNAcentral. Lineage: Eukaryota; Metazoa; Nematoda; Chromadorea; Rhabditida; Rhabditidae.
UAAUUAAGGUGGAUGUGUACA